This 758-nucleotide ribosomal RNA is filed under the name Golovinomyces artemisiae. Its description in RNAcentral is "eukaryotic LSU rRNA". It matches the Rfam family "Eukaryotic large subunit ribosomal RNA", at positions 1 to 773 of the family's 3401-position model. The record is from RNAcentral. Lineage: Eukaryota; Fungi; Ascomycota; Leotiomycetes; Helotiales; Erysiphaceae.
UUGACCUCGAAUCAGGUAGGGAUACCCGCUGAACUUAAGCAUAUCAAUAAGCGGAGGAAAAGAAACCAACCGGGAUUACCUCAGUAACGGCGAGUGAAGCGGUAACAGCUCAAAUUUGAAAUCUGGCUCCUACGGAGUCCGAGUUGUAAUUUGUAGAAGAUGCUUUGGGAGGUAGGGCCGGCCUAAGUUCCUUGGAACAGGACAUCAGAGAGGGUGAGAAUCCCGUAUGUGGCCGUGGCCUACGCCCGUGUAAAGCUCUUUCGACGAGUCGAGUUGUUUGGGAAUGCAGCUCAAAAUGGGUGGUAAAUUUCAUCUAAAGCUAAAUAUUGGCCAGAGACCGAUAGCGCACAAGUAGAGUGAUCGAAAGAUGAAAAGCACUUUGGAAAGAGAGUUAAACAGUACGUGAAAUUGUUGAAAGGGAAGCGCUUGCAACCAGACUUGGGUGUCGUGGAUCAUCCGAGGUUCUCCUCGGUGCACUCGACGAUGCGCAGGCCAGCAUCGGUUUGGGUGGUUGGAGAAAGGCUCUAGGAACGUAGCUCUCUUCGGGGAGUGUUAUAGCCUAGGGCGCAAUGCAGCCCAUCCGGACCGAGGACCGCGCCUUCGGGCUAGGAUGCUGGCGUAAUGGUUGUAAGCGACCCGUCUUGAAACACGGACCAAGGAGUCUAACAUCUAUGCGAGUGUUUGGGCGUUAAACCCAUACGCGGAAUGAAAGUGAACGUAGGUGAGAACCCGUUAGGGUGCAUCAUCGACCGAUCCUG